UCAAAUGAAUUGACGGGGCCCGCACAAGCGGAGGAACAUGUGGUUUAAUUCGAUGAUACGCGAGGAACCUUACCUGGGCUUAAAUGGGAGUGACAGCUGUCGAAAGAUGGUUUUCUUCGGACACUCUUCAAGGUGCUGCAUGGUUGUCGUCAGCUCGUGCCGUGAGGUGUCGGGUUAAGUCCCAUAACGAGCGCAACCCUUACCGUUAGUUACCAUCAGGUUAAGCUGGGGACUCUAGCGGGACUGCCACCGUAAGGUGAGAGGAAGGUGGGGAUGACGUCAAAUCAGCACGGCCCUUAUGUCCUGGGCUACACACGUGCUACAAUGGGCGGUACAAAGGGUCGCGAACCCGCGAGGGGGAGCCAAUCCCAAAAAGCCGCUCUCAGUUCGGAUUGCAGGCUGCAACUCGCCUGCAUGAAGCCGGAAUCGCUAGUAAUCGCGGAUCAGCAUGCCGCGGUCGAAUACGUUCCCGGGCCUU
Molecule: ribosomal RNA, 478 nt
Filed under: uncultured Sphingobacteriales bacterium
Lineage: Bacteria; Pseudomonadati; Bacteroidota; Sphingobacteriia; Sphingobacteriales
Description: bacterial SSU rRNA
Rfam family: Bacterial small subunit ribosomal RNA
Source: RNAcentral